AAUAUUGCUAAUUGUGUUUCAGUCAACCCUCCUGUGAUUGGGAGUUUGAAGUCCCAUGAUCAUCAUGUACUCAUUCAAAACUUGUUACCUGUUGCGUUGAGAGGGUUGCUGCCAAGCGGCCUGAUAGUAAGAUUUUAACUAAGAUCAAUUAUCCUUAAAUCACUAUCAUGUCAUUGUAGUAUUUAAGGUGUCAAUCCAAAUGGGUGUGAUGCUAGCAAUCAAGAUGCAAUCAGAUUUCACAGAGUCAAGCCAAGCAAUAACAGGUUUUGAGGUUGUUAACAGUUCCAGUGAUCAUGCAGAAAACAAUAAUUCUAACAGAAACAGACAACACACUCGAUCACACAGCUUGAUGCCAAGCACUGGAUGUGGUCGAGUGCCAGGUCGAGUACCAAACAGAAACUGCAACAAAUGUACUCGACUUCACAGUCCGUUUCCAAACCGCUGGGUGUGGUCGAGUACUUCAAGUGAAAUAAGUAAAAAUGCAAAAACUAAGCAACAAGUAACGAGAUCAAGCAAUCAAUAGCGAUGUGAACAAAGAAAUCAAUUGGAAGAGAAAUUCCCGAGGAUGGGGUAAUCGAGUAGUGAAGUCUCCUUAAUCUAACAGGUGGUUAACAUGCUCAACAAACUAUCCCUAGACAACAAGUUCAAUAGCCAAAUCAAAGUGCUACCGCAACAGAGAUCCUCAAGCAAAGCUAGUCCCAGACUCAAUCACCAUUGACGAGAGCUAACCUAACAGGCAUUACGAAUCAACAAGUCUAAGCCAAAACGCUCCCUGUAACCAAUACCUUGGUGCAGAGCCACGAAUCUCUGGAAUUAGUGGUUCAGACAUUUCAUCGAACACCUUUUGGGUGCGGAAAUGUCUGGGCUCAGAUUCCAGUUGAUCAGAAAGCAAUCAGCAUUAAGAACAACUAAUCCAGAAGGGAUCUACCAAUCAAACUCAACCACCUAGCAGAUCAAGGAUUCUAAACUACUCUAACCCAUCCUCAAGAACCCUAAUCACUACUCAAAAUUCAUAACCAAGAACACAAACCCAGAAAUACAUAAAAACUUCAUAUUAGCAAGAUCUCAACAAGAUGAACAACUUUGUAGAAGAAAUCAAAAGCAAAUACUCAAUAGAUUAAGAGAAAUCUAGAUUACAAAUAUGAAGAAAGCACUAAUUGUUCUGCAGAAUAAAACUUAGACAGAAUAAAACUUCGUCUCAAAAUUAUGAGAAACAACCUAUUUAUAGCAAAUACUAGGAAACCCUAAAUCACAAGACGACAAAGUAUUAAGGCGGUUUACGGAGACAUUCGGCUUCGUGCAAUCGAGUGAAGAAGUCGAGCAAAGCUGGCUCCUUUGCGGUUUCUUGAUCUGGUUGUGAUGCGAUCGAGUGACUAGGUCGAGUAUCCACUCGAGUCCCGCUUCAUCUUCUUCUCUUCCUUAUGCUCAGUGUCUGGUUGAGUUGGGAUCUGAGAAGCCUCUGAAGCGUGCAGUCAAGUGCUUGGUCGAGUAAGUUGGUGGAGGAUACUCCACUGCGUGCUCGAGUCGUGAUCUGGAGUCGUGGUCUACUUGGUGAAGGAGCUGGUACUCGACCAUGAGGUCGAGUGGUAGGUCGAGUUGGUGAUCGACUUGGUGCUCGAGUUGGUGCUCGAGUUGGUGCUCGACUUGGUGCUCGACUUUGUCGUGGUCGAGUGCAUUUGGAAGGUCAUGAUGAUGGUGCUCGACCUCGUGGUCGAGCAUACUGAUGGGUUCUGGUCCACUUCUUCCAAUUUGCUCACCAACAGCUCCAAAUCACCUGAAAACAACUCAAAUAUGCAACAUGCAUGCAAAACUAUCCUAAUCAUGCAAAGUGAUGACAAAUGAUGAAGAAUGGUACGAAACAAUGACGAAAUGAUGAUAAAGUGAUGCUAAAUGGAUGCUCAAAACAAGUAAAAUAUAGACAUAUCAACUCCCCCAAACUUAGUCUUUGCUUGCCCUCAAGCAAACAAUUAAGAACAAGGUGGAGGAGAGGUUUGAAAGCGGGGACUCAGAACCAAAGCAUGCAGACAAAGCAAAUGAACUCAAUGUCCAAGUUAGUAAUUGUGGAAUGCUUAGAGACCAAACUCUACUUAAAAACUUUAGCCAUAUUCAUCACAAGACAACCUAACAUUUGUUCCAAUCUACACACACCUUCAGAUCAUCAAUUCCCUUUAACAUUGAUUAAGCUCAAACCAUGAAUCAAGCAAAACAUUGUUGAAGAACUCGUUUGGUUUAAAGGACAAGGCUGAGAAACAAAGAUGGUUCCUCUGUAAAUGGUUUCAGACUUUUUCACAGUAACAGGGAACUCUCAUGAAUGGACAGAGCUUUAGCAGAAUGCUAAAGGUUAGAACCAACCUACACAUACAAGAACAGACCCCAUCUACCCAAAUAACAAUAAUCAUAUCAAACUCCAUAGAUGGUCCUAUCUCUAAACCCCAGAAAUGAUCCUAAUUCUACCCUUUGUACUCAAGGCAUGCUUCGAUAAUCUCUUGGAUCAACCCAUUCUUUCUUUUUGGUUUUGUUCUAAGGAGAGGUUUUCUUUUAGACUUUCUAGUGGAUUGGGACUUUCUUUAACAACUAAAGCUCUUCUUCUCAUCUCAUGACUUAAGACAACUCUAGGCUUUUGCCUUUCUUUUUACUUUGCACAGAGCCUAACUUCUUUUAUUUUCAAACUUCCCAAAUCCUUUACUAGACUAACAAGAUAUUCUUUUCUGUUUCACUUCCAUCUCCUAAGAACAAUAACACUUGUCUUUCUUUCUCAUUUUCUUUCCAAACACAUUCCAAAACCCAAAGUAAAACUCCCACCUAGUCCUAUCUAGCCCAAAAAGCAUGGACUAGAACUACAUGGGAUACUAUUCUUGUCGGUUCAUACCUAACACUUUCUACCAAGCUCAAUCCGGAAAUAGGCCUCACACACACACAAAUUUAUUCAGGGUUUGAAAGAAAGGUUAGGUUCAGGGUGGGGGAAACUGUUCCAAUGAUGGGAAUCAGCUACUUGGAUUAGCAAGAGUGGUAGAAGGUGAAAGAAAAUCCAAGUAUGUGUAUUGGUAGCCACAAGUUCAACAACAAUGCAAAGACAUGAUAAUUACAAGUCAAGUUUAGGUUCUAAUAGAUAGGGAAAAGAAUCUCAUCAAGCAUGCUUCAAUUAAAACAAGAGAGUCAAGUUGUGAAUUCCAAAUAUGGUGCAGUCUUAAUUCAAGUUCUAUCACAAGCAUUAAACAACUAAUAACGAGGGCAUUGAAUUCAUUCAGUAAAUGAGCAUACUUACAAGGUUAUCUCAUCAUCAUCCCCUAUACAAAUGCAACAAUCCUAUAUGAAACCUUCUAGACUCAAUCUUAAAAUGAAAAUGCAACUACAUGAACACUCUAUUUUUGUGAAAUCAUUUUCAGAAAUUUUUCAAAUUUUUAGGGUUUUUUCAAUAACAUAGAUGAAUGCAGACAGUAUGUACAAUGCAAGAAAAAUUUGAAAACAAGAGCAAAGCAAACACAUCAGAUACUUCCUGAGCCCUCCCCCAAACUCGAAUCACACAGUCCUCUGUGUGAUCAAACUUGGAAGAGAGUACUCAGGACAAAAACAACACAGAAACAAAAUAAACAGAAGAUGGUAUUUGACAAUGGUGAAUGGUAGUGCUUACCUCAGUUGAAGUAAGAUUGUAGGUGAUCAUCCUUGUUGCGUUUCAGCUUCUCCUUCCUGUUGGUGCUCGACGUCCCUUCUCCUUCUGCGGCCAGCACCGCGGUCGAGUGUGCUCCUGGAGCGCAUUAGCAGCGUUGUGCUGUUGGAACGGGCAAGUACAGCCUUCUUUCUCCUCUUGUGUUCUCGAGGCUCGUGUGAUGAGUGCCUUGCAGGGGCUGGAGAGAUUUCAUGCGCACUAGGCUCAGGCUCAUCAUAUCUCCUCGAAGGCAUGUCUUGAGGAGGCUGUCCUUGUGGUACUGCUGUGCUGGAAGAUGAGCAGCUAAUCAUGGCCUUCAUAGACUUCAUACCCUUUAUGAACUUGUUGAUGUACUUGUCCUGCUUCUUGCACCACUUCUGCAAUAGGCUCUGGUUUUUGUGAGCUUCACUCAAGCUCUUACUCUCUCUUGCUGGAGCCACGUGUUCACUGAAAUGAUACAUACUUGUAUCAUAUGGCUCUUCCCAAUCUACUUCCAUCUCAUCAAUCUCAUCAUCUGCAGCUUCUUCUUCUGCAGGAACAGCCUCGUGCGUUGGCUGAGCUAUCUCGACGUACAGGUCGUCAACUGAAGGUUCAAAGUUGAUGUUAUAUCCCUCUAUGAUGCGUGUAAGCUCAGGGCGGGGAAGAAGGAUGUUGGCUCUCUUGGUUGUGGGGUGCUCAAAGCGAUAUCUAUACAUGUCGCCAACCAUCGCACGCUCCAGGAAUUCAAUGUGAUGUAGGUGUUCAAUAUCCAUCCACUUCCAUUCAUGUCCCUUGGAGACGAUGGGGACUCCACAUGAAAUCAGAAUUGGUGUUUCACUUCAUCUUCAAAAGCGCGUGGGGAGACAAAAAGUAAAGGCGGUGGGCCAUGCUCUAUCUCUUUACCUUGAAUCAUUUUUUUUUUGUUGACUGGGAAAGUCUCAGAACAACCCGCAAUCUUCUGUAAACUCAAUCAUUCUUCUGUAAGUCUCUGUGAUCUCUGUUGGUCGAGUAUAGUGAUGACUUUUAAAAAUUUUGGGCCAAAAUCAUCACAUAUACUCGACCACAUCUCCUCAUUACCAAGUGGCUUCGCGUGAUAGAGUGGUAAGUCGAAACUUCAAAGUUCUUGAGUCGAAAACCACUUUGAUACUCGAUUACACAGCUCCACUUGCUCUUUGCCCUUGUGGUUGAGUAUUGUGUUGAACUCUCAGAGCCAGAAUCCACUUCACUCAGCUCAUGACACUUAUUUCCUGAAAGCACUACCUAAAUGCAUUAAAAAUAACAAGGAAAGUAAAAAUAUGUACAUGGAUAGACAUGGGACUUCCUCCCAAGUGAGCUUGUUUUAAGUCAUUAGCUUGACUUCCUUACUCCCUUAAGCAUCAAGAGGUUCCUGGAGAUGAACUGAGGUCACCUCUGGAAGGAUUUGAUAUGCUAAGUAUUUCUUGAGUCUUUGGCCAUUCACUGUGAAAUCUCCACUCUUACCAGCUAGAGUGAACUUCAGUAACACAGAAGGGGCCAGACCAUCUAGACUUGAGCUUUCCUGGAAAGAGUUUCAAGCGAGAGUUGAAUAGCAGCACCUGAUCACCAACUUGGAAAUCCUUGGUGAUGAUCUUCUUAUCAUGGAAAAGCUUAGUCCUUUCUUUGUAAAUUUUAGAGCUCUCAUAAGCUUCCAACCUAACUUCAUUGAGAUCAUUCAGCUGGAUCAACCUCUUCUCUCCAGCAGUUUUGAUGUCGUAAUUCAGAAGCUUCACAGCCCACAUAGCCUUGUACUCGAGCUCAACAGGUAAGUGACAGGAUUUUCCAUAGAGAAGGUUGAAGGGAGUUGUACCAAUAGGGGUUUUGAAUGCUGUCCUGUAAGCCCAUAGUGCAUCAUCUAGCUUUGCAGACCAGUCUUUCCUUGUAGUCCCAACAGUCUUCUCCAGAAUUGCUUUUAUCUCCCUGUUGGAGAUCUCAACCUGACCACUUGUCUGUGGAUGAUAAGGAGUGGCUACCUUAUGCUUCACUCCGUGUUUCUUCAAUAAGUUCUCAAAGACUUUGUUGAUGAAGUGUGUACCUCCAUCACUGAUGACGACCCUUGGUAUACCAAAUCUAGGGAAAAUUAUGGUUUUAAACAUCUUCAGAACCACCCUUGAGUCAUUUGUCGGACUUGCAAUGGCCUCAACCCACUUGGCCACGUAGUCCACUGCUACCAAGAUGUAUUUAUUCCCAUAGGAAGAAGGGAACGGCCCCAUAAAGUCGAUUCCCCAGACGUCAAAGAUUUCUACCUCUAGUAUAGGAUUUUGUGGCAUUUCAUUUCUUCUGCUGAUGUUUCCCUUCCUUUGGCAUGAGGCACAUCUUGAUAUGAACUGCUGGGCGUCUUUGAACAUGGUUGGCCACCAGAAGCCUGCUUGCAGUACCUUAGAUACUGUCUUAAAAGUCGCAAAGUGACCACCAUAUGUUGAACCAUGGCAGUGAAGCAAGAUGUCUUCUACUUCCUCCUCUGAGAUACAUCUUCUGUAAAUUUUGUCUUUACAGAGAGUGUAAAGAUAUGGCUCAUCCCAGUAGUAGUGGUUGAUAUCUCUGAAAAACUUCUUCUUUUCAUAACUGGUCAGGUUGGGAGGCUCUACUCCGCAGGCCAAGUAAUUGACAUGAUCAGCAUACCAUGGAGAUUUUCUUUCAACAGCAUUCAGUUGGUGAAACUCUUUCCCACUGUAAUUCUUUCCAAAGAAUUCUGUAACCAUGAGUUGCUCCUCUGGCAUCGAAUCAUCAAUAGGGACUUCAUCAUCGAUCCUCAUCCUUGAUAAGUGAUCAGCUACACCGUUCUCUAUACCCUUCUUGUCUACUAUUUCCAUGUCAAACUCUUGCAGAAAUAGUAUCCAUCUCAAUAGUCUUGGCUUAGUGUCCUUCUUUGCAUAAAUGUGUCUCAAGGCUGCAUGAUCUGUGUAGACUAUGACUUUAGAACCCACCAAGUAGCUUCUGAACUUUUCAAACGCAAAAACAACUGCCAAUAACUCCUUCUCUGUCGUGGCAUACUUCACCUGAGCAUCAUCCAUUGUUCUACUUGCGUAAUAGAUGACAUGGAGCUUCUUGUCAAUCUUUUGUCCCAAGACUGCUCCUACAGCGUAAUCUGAGGCGUCACACAUGAUUUCGAAUGGAUAAUCCCAGUUUGGAGCUUGGACUAUUGGAGCUGAAAUCAGAGCUUCCUUGAUGAGUUGAAAAGCUUUCAGGCAUUCCUCAUCAAAAUCAAACUCUGUUUCCUUACACAGCAGCCUUGUCAUUGGUCUUGCCAGCUUAGAGAAAUCCUUGAUAAACCUUCUAUAAAACCCAGCAUGUCCCAGAAAACUUCUCACGUCCUUGACACUCUUUGGUGGUUGCAGUUGCACCAUAACCUCAAUCUUUGCUCUGUCAACCUCUAUACCCUUCUCUGAAAUCUUGUGCCCCAAUACAAUGCCUUCUUUGACCAUGAAAUGGCAUUUUUCCCAGUUGAGUACCAAGUUCGUCUCUUCACACCUAGAAAGUACCCUGCACAAGUUUGACAAACAAGAGGAGAAGGAGGAGCCAUACACGGAAAAGUCAUCCAUGAAUACCUCAACCAUCUCCUCAAUUAAAUCCGAGAAGAUAGAAGUCAUGCACCGCUGAAAUGUAGCUGGUGCAUUACAGAGACCAAAAGGCAUUCUUUUAUAUGCAAAGGUUCCGUAUGGACAUGUGAAUGUAGUUUUCUCUUGAUCAUUAGGGUGAAUUGGUAUUUGAAAGAAACCACUAUAACCAUCAAGAAAGCAGUAGUAUGGGUGAUUAGCUAACCUUUCUAGCAUUUGAUCAAUGAAUGGAAGUGGAAAAUGAUCUUUCCUAGAUGUAGAAUUCAACUUCCUAUAGUCAAUGCACAUUCUAUGUCCAGUUAUAGUUCUAGUGGGUAUGAGCUCAUCUUUAUCAUUUUUUACUACAGUCAUACCUCCUUUCUUUGGAACACAAUGAACUGGAGAUACCCAAGUGCUAUCGGAAAUAGGGUAAAUUACACCUGCUUCCAAUAGUUUAAGUAUCUCCUUCUUUACAACUUCUUUUAAAUUAGGAUUCAACCUUCUUUGGGGUUCAAUGCUCGAAUAAGAUUCAUUUUCAAGAUGAAUGCGAUGUGUGCAUAAACUAGGUGAAAUGCCCUUUAUAUCAUCAAGUGAAUAACCAAUGGCUCUUCUAUACUUUUUCAGUUCAGUUAACAGAAGAUGCACUUGUUCAUCAGUUAAUGCAUCAUUCACAAUGACAGGAUAUGUAGAGUUGUUACCUAGAAAUGCAUACCUGAGUCCUUUGGGAAGCGGCUUAAGUUCAACUUUUGGUGCCUUGAGUUCAGACCAGUCGUCUGAUGUUGGAAUGAUCAGCUCUGCAGGGAUGUCAACUGUAGUGGUCGAGUGUUCAGUCGAGUAAGUCCUCGAGUGAGCAGGUUGAGCCUGAGUUGAGUCCUCGUCAUUCACUGCCAUUACCUCUGUUGCUGACCCAUUCAAUUCCUCAAAGGAUUCUGACUCUUCUACUGCUUUGUGUGAGUCCAACAGCUUCUGGUAACCCAAAGUUUCUAAAUGCAGAAACCCUUCUUCACCAUUCUUGGUCAAAGCACUCUUAAGGUGAUCUUCUUCUGCUAGCUCCUCUAGUAACUCAUCAGUUAACUGAUCCAUUUCUUCAAUCCAAAAGAGUUGCCCUUCUAUAGUUGGCUUCUUCAUUGCAUCCUUUAUAUCAAAGGUCAUUUUAAGGUCUUUACCAAGGUUCAGAUCGAUCUUCCCCUUCUUGACAUCAAUGAUAGCUCCAGCAGUCGCCAAGAAAGGUCUUCCCAGAAUCAGAGGGUCCUUUGGUUCUUCAUCCAUUUCAAGCACUACAAAAUCAGUAGGUAUCUCUACGACUCCGAUCUUGAUUGGUAAGUCUUCAAGCAGGCCAUGAGGUAUUCUGAUGGAUCUGUCUGCUAGGAUCAGAGAGAUAUUGCAAGCUUUGUAUUUGCUGAAACCAAGUCUUUUCGCAACUGAGAGAGGCAUGAGGCUCACUGAUGCGCCUAGAUCGCAGAGGCAUCUGUUGAAUGAUAAAGGACCUAAUGAACACAGUAGAGUGAAUGAGCCAGGAUCACCAAGCUUCUUUGGAAUGAUCUUCUUUUGUAUAAUAGCACUGCAUUCAUGACUCAAUACUACCAUUCCUUGCACUUCUUGAAUUCUUUCCAUGAUCAGGUCUUUUAGAAACUUGUGGGAAUCCGGAAUAAGCGCGAGAGCAUCAACAAGAGGUAUUCUUAAUUCAACUUCUUUGAUGUUCUUGGCAAACAUAGCUCUAUACUUUUCUGCCAAUGCUUUCUUGUGUCGUCCAGGGAAUGGAAGUGGGGGUUUGUAAGGAGGAGGAACAAAAACCUUCUCCUUGUUCUUAGCAGCAACUGGUUUUAGAACAGCAGGUGAUGUUACUGGAAUUGGUGAUCGAGUAACAUGGUCGAGUGGAGGGUCGAGUACUUCUGUUGGCUUGUCAACUUGAUCUUCAUUGAGAUUGAAAUCCUCCCCAUCUUGGUCUGCACUGUCCUCAGUGGCUGGCUUAGGUCCCUCUCUGGUUGGAAGUUCUUUACCACUGCGCAGGGUGAUAGCAUGAGCCUGAGCAUAGUCUUUUGGAUUCUGAAUCGCUUUGCCUGGAAGUUGGCCAGUAGGUUUUGGAGCAGAAGUUGAUGCAGAUUGUCCUUCCAAGUAUCGGACUUUAGAAUUCAAUGCCUCCACUUUGACAUUCAAGUCAUUGUAGCUACAGUCCAGCUUAUUGUGUAAUUCAGAUAUUUUCUUAGCAAUCUCCAUGGAGCCAGAUGCUUGUCCUUGGAGAAGCUGUUGUCGCAUUUGCUUCAUGUCAGAAUCAGGGGCAGCAUGACCUUGGUGUUGCUGAGGUGCAAACCCAGGUGGUGAUUGCUGCUGGUAGUUCCCCUGAAAUUGUUGUUUGGGAGCAAAACCUUGGUUGUAGGGAACAAAAGGUUUAUUCUGACCCUGCUGUUGUUGUGGAGGAUACACUUGAUCCUGUGGAUUAGCAACGUUGGUGCUGCGGUAAGAAAGGUUGGGGUUGUUAGUCUUGAAGUUGUUAUACCCUUUGUAGCCGCCUUGAUUGUUGAUGUAGCUGACCUCUUCUAACUGGUUCCCCUCCCCAUCUUGGACUUGAUACUGCUCGUCAUCAAGUAGAAAGUGCACAUUCUUCUGCUGGCCAAGGAUAAGCCUAUCCAGUUUCUCAUUAAGAGCUUUCAUCUCUUUACUAUGCUUUGCAUCCGAUUCUCCAAUACCUCUGUUGGAGCGAUCAAAAUUCUCGUUAUAAUUACCAUCGGAUUGAGCUAAGUUCUCAAUUAAUUCCCAGCCGUCUUCAACAUCCUUAUUCAAGAAAUUCCCAUUAGAAGCAGUGUCCAGCAACAUUCUGAUUUUGGGCAAAACUCCCCUGUAGAGUGUGCUUAGUAGAGAAGCCUUCUUGAAACCAUGGUGUGGACACUGUAUAGUGUAGCCUUUGAAUCUCUCCCAGGCUUCACAAAUGGAUUCAGACUGCUUUUGGGUAAAACUGGAGAUUUCAUUCCUAAGCCUUGCAGUUCUUGAAUUUGAGAAGAACUUUGUUAAGAAGGCCUUCUUGCAAUCGUCCCAAGAUGUGAUGGAGCCAGCAGGUAACGUCUUUUCCCAUUGGUGUGCUUUGUCUCCCAGUGAGAAGGGAAACAGGCGCAGCUUGAAACUGUCCUCACUAACACCGUUUAUCUUGGUUAGGCUGCAGAGCCUGUCGAAGUUAUCCAAGUGGUCUAAGGGAUCUUCCAGAGGCAGACCAUGGAACUUGUUUCCUUGAAUCAUCGAGAUGAGACCACUUUUAAUCUCGAAGUUGUUGUUUUGGACAGCAGGAGGCACAAUUCCUUGCCUCUGAUGGUGGUUUCUUGGUGCAUCUCCAGCACCAAUGUUUGCUGGCAGAUUGUUGACAUCUUGUUCAUCAGCCAUUCUGAAAGGAUGGUUGUGUUCAAGGUCUGUAGUGUCUCUCCUUUCCCUUAGUUCUCUGUCAAUACGGUCAAUGUUAUCGUUGAAAAGGAGGUUCUGGUUGCCUUUUGAUCGAGUUUGCAUACAGCAGGGUUGCAGAGUGAUCAGACUCGAUGUGGCAGUCUCGACGUGAGGUCGAGAUGGUCCCUAACAAUGCAGAGUGGCAGACUCGAUGUGGCAGUCUCGACGUGUCGUCGAGAUGGUACCUGGAUCACAAAAACAAGCAGAUGAAAUGAAGAGUUAGUAACCAACGUAAAGAAAGAACUUGAUCUUAAACGUUUCUGAAAUCCUAAAUGGAACAAUGCAACACAAGACUGGCAACGGCGCCAAAUUGAUACUAAGAUUUUGCUAUCAAUUACCCUAAUAUACUUUCAUGUCAUUGCAGUAUAAGAGGUUAUCAAUCCAAUCAGGUGCUCUCACUAUCAAUCAAGAUAUGCUCAGAGAUAACUAAGUCAAGCCAAGCAGAAUAGAGGGUUGUUUAUCUAACAAUCCUAAGCGAACAUGCAUAAAAACGAUAAAGCUACAGAACAUGAAUGAACAUGCAUAAAGAGAAAUGAUUAUCAAAACUAAGCAGUAAUAAGCAAGCAGGUCGAGUAGAACACAAAAUCUAACAGAAACGAUAAUCAAGCAAUCAAUAGAGAUAAAGGGUCCUGAGGAAUGGGGUAAUCGAUUAUGGCAGUCUCCUUAGUCUACCUAGGUGGUUAACAAACUCAAUCAAGCUAUCCCUAGACAAUAGAUUCGAAUACAAAUCAAUCCACUCUCGUGACAGAGAUUCUCAAGCUAAAUCACUUUCAUACUCAAUUCUCAUUGAAGAAAUAUAACCUAGCAGGCAUUAUGAUUCAAUCUAAUAAAGUCAAUAAGCAUUCUAAACAUCCAAUCUCUUGGGCUAGAGUAUGCAAAUCUCUGGAAAAGUUUGUUCAGACAUUUCAUCAAACACCUUUUGGGUGUGGAAAUGUCUGAGAUCAAUUUCCAAUUGAUCAGAGAAGAAAUAACAUUAAGAUCUACUAAACCAGAAGGGAAAUCAAGCAAUUCAACACUUAACCACCUAAAUAUACUAAGGAUUCCACACCUAAUCUAACCCAUCCUCAAGAACCCUAAUCCACUACUCAAGAACACUGAAGAACAUCAUGCAUAAAAACCCAGAAAACGUUUCAAACCCAGAAAUCAUUGAAAAGAAAGUAUGUUAUAGAUAAAAGACAGAUCUACAACUUUGAUGAAGAAAAGAAAUGCAAAAACUCAAAGGAUCAACAGGAAAAACGAUUACAAAAACUAGGGUUUAUGAGAGAACAAAGGAAUAUCUGCUGGGUAAAAGGAAUAUCCCCUGGACAAUAGCAUGUACCCCUAUUUAUAGGAAAUACUAGGUUACCCUAAUUGGCUACAGGACAAAAUAGAGAGUCGGUGGAGGCCAACUCGACGUGUCGUCGAGCCUACCACGUCGAGACCAUGUGAUUCUCAAAGGUGGCGCCUUGAUGUCCAUCUCGACGUGACGUCGAGCCUGUCUGGUCGAGUCUGCUCCCAGGCUGCUUCUUGGCGUCCAUCUCGACGUGACGUCGAGCCUGUCUGGUCGAGACUGCUCCCAGGCUGCUUCUUGGCGUCCAUCUCGACGUGACGUCGAGGCUGUCUGGUCGAGACUUGUCCCAGGUGAUCUUGAACGACUUCAUUCUCUCNNNNNNNNNNNNNNNNNNNNNNNNNNNNNNNNNNNNNNNNNNNNNNNNNNNNNNNNNNNNNNNNNNNNNNNNNNNNNNNNNNNNNNNNNNNNNNNNNNNNNNNNNNNNNNNNNNNNNNNNNNNNNNNNNNNNNNNNNNNNNNNNNNNNNNNNNNNNNNNNNNNNNNNNNNNNNNNNNNNNNNNNNNNNNNNNNNNNNNNNNNNNNNNNNNNNNNNNNNNNNNNNNNNNNNNNNNNNNNNNNNNNNNNNNNNNNNNNNNNNNNNNNNNNNNNNNNNNNNNNNNNNNNNNNNNNNNNNNNNNNNNNNNNNNNNNNNNNNNNNNNNNNNNNNNNNNNNNNNNNNNNNNNNNNNNNNNNNNNNNNNNNNNNNNNNNNNNNNNNNNNNNNNNNNNNNNNNNNNNNNNNNNNNNNNNNNNNNNNNNNNNNNNNNNNAAUGCAUAAGAAAUGCGUGCUAAAAAGAGGUAAAAUACAGAGAUAUCAGUUGUCUAAUUUCAGAGGUCCUGAUGGUUAUUGUGGGAAUAUUGCUAAUUGUGUUUUAGUCAACCCUCCUGUGAUUGGGAGUUUUAAGUCCCAUGAUCAUCAUGUACUCAUUCAAAACUUGUUACCUAUUGCGUUGAGAGGGUUGCUGCCAAGCGGCCCUAGGACUGCGGUAACUCGAGUCUGCAACUACUUCAACAGAUUGUGCCAACGUACGAUUGACCCAGAGAAGCUAGUUUCUUUAGAGUCUGAGAUUGUAGAGACAAUGUGCCAACUGGAGCGGUUCUUUCCUCCUUCACUGUUUGAUAUCAUGUUCCACCUCCCAAUACAUCUAGCAAGAGAGGCACGGUUGGGAGGUCCGGUGCACUUUCGCUGGAUGUAUCCUUUCGAGAGGUUUGUUCUUAUCUUAUUUCUAUCUUUACAUGUUGUGUUUUGAGACAUGCUAUUUUCUGACAUAUUGAGUACAAAUAUGAAUUCUUGAAUGAGUUGUAGGUACAUGAAAACACUUAAGGCAUAUGUAAAAAACUAUGCAAGACCAGAAGCGUGUAUGGUUGAAGGAUACUUGGCCGGAGAAUGCAUUUCUUUCUGCUUAGGGUUCCUACAGAAUUCUGUACUAGUGCAAGAAGCUGUAAACCGUAACGAAGAUGUUGAGGCUGAUGGAAGUGUUGUUGAAGGCAGACCAUUGCAUAAGGGUCGAGAAGUUGUCCUUUCAGAGAAAGAGAGAGACAUAGCACAUCGAUAUGUCUUGAUGAACUUCGCAGCUGUGGAUCCCUAUGUGGAGUAAGUUGAACCAUACUCUCUCAUUUACAGCUUCUUUACCUAUCACACAGAUAAGAUAACUGCUCUACUAUGGAAUAACAGGAUGCAUUUGGAAGAAUUGCAGUCUCAGGAUGCUCGAUGCGCUAGAAAUGAAACUAUUUUAUGGAAAUAUCAUACAGAUCAGUUUGCCCAGUGGAUAAAAAAAAAGGUUUCUACAUAUCUAUUUCUAAUUUUUUUUUACUUUAACACUCUUUUCAUGUUUUAAUUUCUGUCACUGAUAUUGUUUAUGUUUGCCAGAUUCCUUCUAAUUCAAAAGAUCACUCGACGAAGCUUCGGUGGUUGGCAUUUGGACCUAGACUAACUGCUCAAACCCACAAAGGAUUUGUCAUUAACGGGCAUCGCUUUCACACUGAUGACAUUAAGCGGAAGACACAGAAUACUGGAGUGACUUAUGAAGCUUUUAGCAUGUGUAGAUCUACUGCACGAGACACUAGACAAAUGGCUGACAUAGUUACUUACUAUGGAGUGAUCAAGGAAAUUAUACUUCUAGACUACCACAUGUUCACAGUGCCAUUAUUCAAAUGCAAUUGGGCCAAUAGAGGGUAUGGUGUAAAGGAAGAGGAUGGAUUCACGCUUGUGAACCUUCAUAUGAAUCAAUCGUCAUAUCUCCAAGAUCCAUAUAUUCUCCCAUCACAAGCAAAACAUGUUUUCUAUUCCAGAGAGAAUGACACAUCACCUUGGUAUGUUGUUAUGAGGGCUCCUCCUAGGGGCUACCACGAGUUGGAGACAGAGGAAGAGUUUGUUGGUGCACCUUUAUCACCCCAACCAGUUGAUGAUUUAGAGAUUCAAUCUUCUGAUUAGGCCUGGGCGUUCGGAUAUUCGGGUCGGGUUCGGGUCGGGUUUUUCGGGUUCGGUUUUUUUGGGUUUAGAAAACUAAGACCCGUUCGGGUAUUUUAAAACAUCGGGUUCGGGUCGGGUUCGGAUCGGGUAUUUCGGGUUCGGAUUCGGGUUUACCCGAAGUAUCCAAAUAUUAGAAAUUUUGUAUCCGAUUCUAUGCAAAGUAUUGAAAAAUACUCAAAAAAUCUAUAAAACCUAAGUAUUUUAUACCCGAAUGUAACCCAAAGUAGUUAAAACACUUGGAAAUAUCUUAACAUCCGAAUUAUUUAGGCACUUAGGUUAUUACAAGUAUAAAUAUUACUAAUAUAUUAUAACUAUGUACUUAUAUUUGGGUAUGUUCGGGUACUUGUUCGGGUUUGAGUUCGGGUCGGGUUCAGGUUUGGGUUUUCGGGUUGUGAAGUUUAGAACCCGUUCGGGUAUUUUAAAACUUCGGGUUUGGGUUCGGACCGGGUUUUUCGGGUCGGGUUCGGUUCGGUUCUUUGGGUUUGGGUAUUAUGCCCAGCCCUACUUCUGAUGAUGAGAGUUUCUAUGUUAGGGAGGAUUGUGAAGGGAUCACAGUUGCAGAGUAAUAGGUCACUGUGAUAGGAGAAUUGCAGUGAUGUUUUUAAUUUUACUUUCAUGUUUCGUUUUGCAGGAUCUUAAGUGAUGAAGACAAGAGGAGGAUUAGUCCGUCGAAGUAAACGUCAACAAGGCUUGGAUGCUGUAACAGUCAUGCAGCGGCCAAAAGCCACCAAAACAAAGAAGAAAAGAAUAGGAGAAGUGAUGACUGAUGUUGUUAACCUUGAGGAAGCUGAAGAAGCUGUUGGUGAUCUUGUUCAAGAUGUUCAGAAGUUUGGUGAUAUAGCUGCUGAGGAAGUUGUUGGUGGUCCUGUUCAAGAAGUUCAGAAAUUUGGUGAUGUAGCUGCUGAGGAAGCUAAUGGUGAUCCUGAUCAAACUGUUUCUGAGAAAGAAGUUGCUAACACUAGUCAACAACCAGCUGAGCAAGUAGAUGCUCAAGAUGAUGAUGAGACUGUUGAACCUAUGGCAGUUGAAACUGACAAUAUGAAUCAAGAUUCUCAACCUGUUGCAUCUGAACCUAAUGCUAGGGAAGAUGACUCUCAUCGUACUGAUGCUGGAACUGAGAUGCGUAGCACUUCAGGACUAGGAACACCGCAGUCAGCUCCCACUAUAAAGAAGAGAAGAGGGCCGACCAAGAUGCGUAAAGUGGCUAAGGAUCCUCAGGACAGGGUUGAAGUGUCAUUCACUGAGCUUGGUGAACAUGUAGGUCCUGGUUCAGUGACACUAUCAUCAUUUGUUGGUGCUAUUGUGCGUGAACAUGUUCCGGUAACACUUGAUGAUUGGAGAAAACUGGAUAGUCAGACAAAGGAUACACUUUGGGAGGAAAUACAGGUUUAUGAACAUUAGUGUAUAAC
Molecule: long non-coding RNA, 15794 nt
Filed under: Arabidopsis lyrata
Lineage: Eukaryota; Viridiplantae; Streptophyta; Magnoliopsida; Brassicales; Brassicaceae
Description: long non-coding RNA (ALYR_LNC000507)
Rfam family: Plant small nucleolar RNA R71 (bases 10046-10152)
Source: RNAcentral